UGAGGAAUUUUGCGCAAUGGGUGAAAGCCUGAAGCAGCAACGCCGCGUGAACGAAGGAGGCCUUCGGGUCGUAAAGUUCUUUUACGUGGGAUGAGGAAGGACAGUACCACGAGAAUAAGUCUCGGCUAACUACGUGCCAGCAGCCGCGGUAAAACGUAGGAGACGAGCGUUAUCCGGAUUUACUGGGCGUAAAGAGCGUGUAGGAGGCGCUACAAGUUGGAUGUAAAAGCUCCCGGCUUAACUGGAGAGGUCGUUCAAGACUGUAGAGCUAGAGUAAGGCAGAGGUAGAUGGAACUCCGGGAGUAGUGGUGAAAUGCGUAGAUAUCCGGAAGAACACCAGAGGCGAAAGCGAUCGACUGGACCUUAACUGACACUGAGACGCGAAAGCCAGGGUAGCAAACG
Molecule: ribosomal RNA, 402 nt
Filed under: uncultured prokaryote
Description: bacterial SSU rRNA
Rfam family: Bacterial small subunit ribosomal RNA
Source: RNAcentral